Non-coding RNA from Petromyzon marinus (sea lamprey), 3280 nucleotides. The record is from RefSeq and is a predicted model, not a curated record. Lineage: Eukaryota; Metazoa; Chordata; Hyperoartia; Petromyzontiformes; Petromyzontidae.
CACCACCCGACCACCACCCCCACCGCGCGCCAGGAGACGUCACCGCGUGGAGCGCGGGGGAAGAUGCCACCAGGCCAAAUGGGCUUUGGGGGCGGGGGUGAUCUCCCAGCCGCAUCGUCAUCCGUCACGAGUCGCAAAUAUUUGGAGUCGCCCCUGGGUGAUUGUCGCUCUGCUCCACCGUGGCCCGGGGCGCGCUGUUCGGCUCGGGCGCAGAGCGCGGGGAGCCGCUCACGAGGCAGGGGGCACGCCCGGAGAGAAGAUCUCUACUCUGUUGAGAGGGCGUAGCCAGGUGAGGUGGGUCAUGCACACCCCAGGCUGGAUCUUGCGAAUCCUGCGGCUGCUGCUGCGUCUUCUGCGUCUUCUGCCUCCCCUGCAAGAGGUACAGCUCACAAAGCCACGCGUCCUUGUGGGCCACGCUGGCUGCCUGCAGCGUGAACUUGUCCAGCCCGCUCUCGUGCUCAUGCAACAGCUCCAGGAUUCGCUCGUGCCCCUCCACCACCUCGCUCACCUCUACGUUCCGCACCUGGACGCCACGGAGGGAGAGAAAGGGCAUCUCUCCGUCAAUUGCGAGACGUCGGGAGCGCGCCAGGGCUGGAGAUGCCACGACCGAGGGCUUCCCAGGGGGAACGGAGGAGACGCUCACCGGCAGGGCGUGCAGGCACGUGUAGGCCUGGGAGGCCGAGUGGCUUCCACGCCUCGCCUUGCACACGAGCAGGUGGCUGUUGAAGAGGAAGAGGUGGCGGCGGUGGCCUCGUCGGCUUAUCGCCUCGCUGCCCUCCCACGCCUCAAACACGUCCUGCGCUCGCAACGGCGGAGAUGGUUGGAGGGGUGAGCGAUGGUGGCGGAGGGGUGGGAGAUUCCAUCCAAACGAACAAAACAAACACUGAUCCUGCCUUCAGUAAUGGCUCAAUUAAUGCUUUUAAAUUAAUAAGCGUUUGCCAUCUUGGACCACAGCCAGAAGCACAUGAAUGGCGCAGGUAUCGAACCCUCUCAUGAAACCAUGUCCACUGUGGUGGACUACUAUGAUAUAAAUGAUUGCGAUGAAAUUAUGAGCAUUUUUAAUGAUGACUCCAUAUUUUGGCGUUCCUUUAACUCCUGAAAUCACAACAUCAAAAAAUAAAGUUCGGGUUAAAUAUCACAAAAUAUUUAAGUAGAAAUAAAUGACUUCUUGAAUAAUGAUAAUUCUCCAACUAAGCUGAUUGCUUCGCUCGACUGAGAGCACCUGUCUAAUGGGAGAGCGCCUGCUGUGUGCACGUGGCUGCAGGGUUGUUGUGUGCACGUCGUGGUGACGUCAUUGCCACUUAGUGGCGAAUGGCGGUUGUUGUUGUUGUACCUGUCGCAAGAGUGGGCCAAGGUCGGCGAGGUUGGUGGGCACCUCCUCGAUCAUGGACAGCUUCAUCUCGUCCUCCGCGCGUUUCGGAAGCGACGCCACCACGCCGUAGGCCUCCUCCAGGCCUCGGCAGUCGCCGCCCCGGCUCGCGCGCCUCCGGAUCAAGUCCUGUGGGCGGGCGGUGGCAGCGUGAGCGACCACACCUGGGCAGCUGUGUGACACCGCUGAUCUGUGCCACACUGCGGCUGCUGACCACUGAGGGUUUUUCUUCUUUCGUACAGCUGAUGUAGAUGUAGAGCAACAACUACAAUUUCACAUUCAGGAGGUCAAGCCAGACAACCGCGUUAUCUGGCUUGAUAACAAAUGUGGGUAAGGUUGGUGAACGGUGUCCCAGGACGGUAAGCGGUGGCCACGCAUGCCUCUAACGCAGCACUUGAAGACAACGGCUGGUCGACUUCAUUCUGUGCUGAAAUUCCCUACAAGGUAGCCAAGGAUGGCAGUACAACAACUAGGAUUGGUUGACUGCUAUUCCUUGGAUACCAGGUACUCCUUUUUUCUUCCCUCAUGAAAAGGAAUUUGGAAAACAGCACCAUGCAGGAUCCUCUUAAAAAAACAAUUUUGAGGCUCAUUGGUCCUUUCCAGGAUAAAUGGUUGACGAGACUUUAUGGACAGGGACUGGGCGCCUUUCCCUUUUCUCAGAGCCAGAUGCCCGGCUGCUCUCACCUUCAGUGCCACCUGAUAAAUGUGCAGCUGCUCCUGGGGCAGGUCCAAGUAUUUCUGUAUGGACAGCACCGACUCGGGGAAGUGUGUGGACUGGCGUAGGAUCUCGGUAUAUUUCUGCACAGACAGGAAGGGAACAACGGAGAGAUUUGAGAUAAUCCUCACGGAGGACAAUCGACACCGAUGCACGAUAACUGAGGGUGCGGGUCCGUUGCUUCAUCGCGUGGCGAUGGCUUGGGGGGGAAAGUGGAGCUACCUCGAAGGUGACCCUGACGGCGUCGCUCAGCAAGAGCAGGUCGGCCUUCGGUUUGCCGCGUAGGUACUGCACGUACACCUGGAGUUGCUCGCGGCUGCCCAGGAUGGCGUCCACCACGUCGCUCUCGUCCCUGCACGCCCUGAGCCUGGGCAGGAAAACCCUGGGAGCGCAGCACAACGCGUGAACCGCCCGUCGGCAUACGGCCCGUGUCUCUGCACGUGCACUCUGCUCACGUGGCUGGCAGAUGGCACGCGCUCGGCUUCGGUGAGAUAAAAAAGACGUUUGAACAAAAAAUAUCAAUAGCAUGGAUGAAAGAUUAAAUUUCUUUAAAAAACAAAGCCCAACGUGCUCCAUUCAAGACCAAAGCUUAUUUACAUGUUUUAAUACUUUCUAAGGCCACAGUCAAUCAGAAGGAGAACGAGUUGGGAGUAAUUUGUCCAACAUCUAUCAUUGAAAACCGGCGAUAGGCGUAGGAAAUUGGCGAGGCAGUGGCAGCAGGAGGCAGUGAGUGCUCACUGUCGGUGGAAGUUGAGGAUGUCCUGCACAUUCCUGAAGAUGGCCUCCCGCUUGGACCUGACCAGUGCCGGGAUGUUGACCUGACUCUCCACGAACUGCACGUGAUGCGACACCAGGAAGGACAGCUUCUUCACAAACUUCUCCUCCGCCGCCACCAGCUGCUGCAGGGUGACCCUGCCGCGGGAAAUGCCAACGAGGGAUCGUGACGUUGCGCAGGCAGCUUUCGGAGCAGGGUGAGGCCCUUUAAAGCCUUUUUCGGUGAGGCCGGAAAUUAUUUUUUCCCCCGACAUAAACAAUGGUGUGCGACGGUGCGAUUCUGGGUACAUUUAGAACAAUGUUCGAGUUGUGUGUGACGAAAAUAGACGUGGACUUACUCGAUGGGUUGUUCCUUGCGGCCCGUGGAUGGUGUCUAGAGAAGGAGCGACGGUGGACGACAGAAAUUAAAGUAACCGUUCGUG